CAGUAGCCGCGGUAACACGUAGGUGGCAAGCGUUGUCCGGAAUUAUUGGGCGUAAAGGGCUCGCAGGCGGUUUCUUAAGUCUGAUGUGAAAGCCCCCGGCUCAACCGGGGAGGGUCAUUGGAAACUGGGAAACUUGAGUGCAGAAGAGGAGAGUGGAAUUCCACGUGUAGCGGUGAAAUGCGUAGAGAUGUGGAGGAACACCUGUGGCGAAGGCGACUCUCUGGUCUGUAACUGACGCUGAGGAGCGAAAGCGUGGGGAGCGAACAGGAUUAGAUACCCGGGUAGUCCCUGUCUCUUAUAC
This 301-nucleotide ribosomal RNA is filed under the name uncultured bacterium. RNAcentral describes it as "partial 16S ribosomal RNA". It matches the Rfam family "Bacterial small subunit ribosomal RNA", at positions 509 to 807 of the family's 1533-position model. The record is from RNAcentral.